CGGACGGGUGAGUAAUGUCUGGGAAACUGCCUGAUGGAGGGGGAUAACUACUGGAAACGGUAGCUAGUACCGCAUAACGUCGCAAGACCAAAGAGGGGGACCUUAGGGCCUCUUGCCAUCGGAUGUGCCCAGAUGGGAUUAGCUAGUAGGUGGGGUAAUGGCUCACCUAGGCGACGAUCCCUAGCUGGUCUGAGAGGAUGACCAGCCACACUGGAACUGAGACACGGUCCAG
Molecule: ribosomal RNA, 232 nt
Filed under: uncultured bacterium
Lineage: Bacteria
Description: partial 16S ribosomal RNA
Rfam family: Bacterial small subunit ribosomal RNA
Source: RNAcentral